Long non-coding RNA from Lolium rigidum, 261 nucleotides. RefSeq lists it as uncharacterized. NCBI's taxonomy places the organism in Eukaryota, Viridiplantae, Streptophyta, Magnoliopsida, Poales, Poaceae. The transcript is spliced from 4 exons. The record is from RefSeq and is a predicted model, not a curated record.
CAGGAGAACCGUGAAAAGAAAGUUGUAAAGGAAGAGUUGCAACAGGACGAGCAGACAGUCAAGGACAAGAUAUCGGAGGCUUCUAUGGAUGAGAAUGGUGUGAAGGAGGGAAAGGAAGAGAUGGCUUCUGCUGAGGAGAACGGCGAAGAAGAGACAACUGAAAAACAAAUACCCGCAAGAAAGCGCAGGAGGGAUACUGUUGCUGACCGCUCUUCUCUUGAGCCUCGGGCCACCCGACCUAGGCAGAGGUUGACUGCUCCG